UACGGAGGGUGCGAGCGUUGUCCGGAAUCACUGGGCGUAAAGGGCGCGUAGGCGGCUGGGAAGUCGGUGGUGAAAGCUCGUGGCUCAACUACGAGUCGGCCAACGAUACUCCUCGGCUCGAGCACUGUAGAGGCAGGUGGAAUUCCGGGUGUAGCGGUGGAAUGCGUAGAGAUCCGGAAGAACACCGGUGGCGAAGGCGGCCUGCUGGGCAGUAGCUGACGCUGAGGCGCGACAGCGUGGGGAGCAAACAGG
Molecule: ribosomal RNA, 252 nt
Filed under: uncultured bacterium
Lineage: Bacteria
Description: partial 16S ribosomal RNA
Rfam family: Bacterial small subunit ribosomal RNA
Source: RNAcentral